Hemicordylus capensis (graceful crag lizard) is the source of this 678-nucleotide long non-coding RNA. RefSeq lists it as uncharacterized. The record is from RefSeq and is a predicted model, not a curated record. Lineage: Eukaryota; Metazoa; Chordata; Lepidosauria; Squamata; Cordylidae. The transcript has 3 exons.
AGAUAGGGAGAAGGAGCCUGUGAGAGCAGAAGCACCAUGGUGAUUGGGCAGUGGGGAUUCCCUAUGCAGAUAAGGAGGAGGAGCCUGUGAUGGUUAAGGUCAGUUGGAAUGCAACUGUUACUGGUUGCAAGAUAUUCUUGAUUGUAGAGGAGAGGAAUCUCUCUAUAUAAAAGGAUAGCAGGCAGGGGUCUGCAAAAAGAUGGGUCAUGAGGGAGGAAAGAGCCCCUUCAGGAAAACUCAUAGUGCUUGUGGAGGAGUCGAUGGGGAAUCCAGCUCAAUCUAAGAUAUAUCCAAUUGAAUGGUUGAGUGUGUCCCAGCUUAUUAUGUCGAAGAUUCCUUCUAUGGUGGCACAUUGCCUGUAGUGUGAAAGACAAGAUGAAGAGAGACUCAUUCCAUGAAUCUGUCUGCAGCUGGUCUUAUUUUAAAAACAAAACAGUGUGGCUGGCACUCUUUCAUGGGUACUAAUCAUCUUGUGGCACAACAUAGACAAGCCUUUCAGGGUUUGAAAUUUGAAUCUUCUCCAGAGUGAACUUUUCCAGUUGGCAGAACAGUUUGCUGUUGAAUUAUCUCCCAAGCUAGUGCAUACACAUUUUUAUUGCACAUGUUCAUUCUUCACCAUUACUCCUAUUACCCUCUUUUCAACUUGGCAUCUUGUAUUUUCAUGGGAAAGCAUCUUAU